Molecule: ribosomal RNA, 505 nt
Filed under: uncultured bacterium
Lineage: Bacteria
Description: partial 16S ribosomal RNA
Rfam family: Bacterial small subunit ribosomal RNA
Source: RNAcentral
GAUGAACGCUGGCGGCGUGCCUAAUACAUGCAAGUAGAACGCACAGUUUAUACGGUAGCUUGCUACACCAUAGACUGUGAGGGGCGAAUGGGUGAGUAACGCGUAGGUAACCUGCCUGGUAGCGGGGGAUAACUAUUGGAAACGAUAGCGAAUACCGCAUAAUAUUGAUGAUUGCAUGAUAAUUGAUGGAAAGGUGCUAUUGCAUAACUACCAGAUGGACCUGUGUUGUAUUUGCUAGUAGGAGAGGUAACGGCUCAACUAGGCCACGGUACAUAUCCGACCCGGGAGGGUGAUUGGCCCCCCUGGGACUGAGACACGGCCCAGACUCCUACGGGAGGCAGCAGUAGGGAAUCUUCGGCAAUGGACGAAAGGCUGACCGAGCAACGCCGGGUGAGUGAAGAAGGUUUUCGGAUCGUAAAGCUCUGUUGUAAGGGAAGAACGGGUGUGAGAGUGGAAAGUUCACACUGUGACGGUACCUUACCAGAAAGGGACGGCUAACUACGUG